GGGAUUAGUUGUAGCAAUACGACUAUGAGAGUAGCGCACGGGUGCGUAACGCGUAUGCAACCUGCCUUCAUCUGGGGAAUAGCCCCUCGAAAGAGGGAUUAAUACCGCAUAACACAAUGAAUAGGCAUCUAUUUAUUAUUAAAACUACGGUGGAUGAAGAUGGGCAUGCGUGACAUUAGCUAGUUGGUAGGGUAAUGGCCUACCAAGGCUACGAUGUCUAGGGGGUCUGAGAGGAUGUCCCCCCACACUGGUACUGAGAUACGGACCAGACUCCUACGGGAGGCAGCAGUAGGGAAUAUUGGUCAAUGGGCGCAAGCCUGAACCAGCCAUGCCGCGUGCAGGAUGACGGCCCUAUGGGUUGUAAACUGCUUUUGUACGGGAAGAAACCUCAUUACGUGCAAUGAGUUGACGGUACCGUGAGAAUAAGGAUCGGCUAACUUCGUGCCAGCAGCCGCGGUAAUACGAAGGAUCCUAGCGUUGUCCGGAUUUACUGGGUUUAAAGGGUGCGUAGGCGGACUUUUAAGUCAGUGGUGAAAGCCUGCAGCUUAACUGUAGAAUUGCCAUUGAAACUGAUUGUCUCGAGUGCGGUUGAGGUCACUGG
This 601-nucleotide ribosomal RNA is filed under the name uncultured Bacteroidota bacterium. RNAcentral describes it as "bacterial SSU rRNA". It matches the Rfam family "Bacterial small subunit ribosomal RNA", at positions 66 to 664 of the family's 1533-position model. Lineage: Bacteria; Pseudomonadati; Bacteroidota. The record is from RNAcentral.